AUUGAACGCUGGCGGCAGGCCUAACACAUGCAAGUCGAACGAGUGGCGGACGGGUGAGUAAUGUCUGGGAAACUGCCUGAUGGAGGGGGAUAACUACUGGAAACGGUAGCUAAUACCGCCUACCAUCGGAUGUGCCCAGAUGGGAUUAGCUAGUAGGUGGGGUAACGGCUCACCUAGGCGACGAUCCCUAGCUGGUCCGAGAGGAUAACCGGCAACACGGGAACUGAGACAGGGUCCAGACUCCAACGGAAGGCGGCAGUGGGGACUAUUGCAAAAUGGGCGCAAGCCUGAUGCAGCCAUGCCGCGUGUAUGAAGAGGGCCUUGGGGUUGUAAAGUACUUUCAGCGGGGAGGCGUUACCCGCAGAGGAAGCCCCGGCUAACUCCGUGCCAGCAGCCGCGGUAAUAC
This 406-nucleotide ribosomal RNA is filed under the name uncultured bacterium. Its description in RNAcentral is "partial 16S ribosomal RNA". It matches the Rfam family "Bacterial small subunit ribosomal RNA", at positions 29 to 526 of the family's 1533-position model. The record is from RNAcentral.